AUGGAGAACAGCGCGCCGCCGGUGAUCAUCAUCGGGGCGGGGCCGUCGGGGCUGGCGGCAUCGGCAUGCCUGGCGCGGCGCGGGGUGGAUAGCAUCGUCCUAGAGCGGGACGAGUGCGUCGGCUCGCUGGGGCAGAAGCGCGCCUACGACCGCCUCCACCUGCACCUCCCCAAGCAGGCAAGCGCGCUCCCCCACCUGCCGCACGCCGACGACGCGCCGACCUACCUCCCCCGCGACCAGUUCGUCCGCUACCUCGACGCCUACGCUGACCGCUUCGCCGUGCACGCGCGCCUCCGCCUCCGCCGUGAGGUCUGCUCCGCGCGCUUCGUGGACGGCUAG
This 339-nucleotide ribosomal RNA is filed under the name Triticum aestivum (bread wheat). RNAcentral describes it as "partial small subunit ribosomal RNA". Lineage: Eukaryota; Viridiplantae; Streptophyta; Magnoliopsida; Poales; Poaceae. The record is from RNAcentral.